AUUGAACGCUGGCGGCAGGCCUAACACAUGCAAGUCGAACGGUAACAGGAAACAGCUUGCUGUUUCGCUGACGAGUGGCGGACGGGUGAGUAAUGUCUGGGAAACUGCCUGAUGGAGGGGGAUAACUACUGGAAACGGUAGCUACUACCGCAUAACGUCGCAAGACCAAAGAGGGGGACCUUCGGGCCUCUUGCCAUCGGAUGUGCCCAGGUGGGAUUAGCUAGUAGGUGGGGUAACGGCUCACCUAGGCGACGAUCCCUAGCUGGUCUGAGAGGAUGACCAGCCACACUGGAACUGAGACACGGUCCAGACUCCUACGGGAGGCAGCAGUGGGGAAUAUUGCACAAUGGGCGCAAGCCUGAUGCAGCCAUGCCGCGUGUAUGAAGAAGGCCUUCGGGUUGUAAAGUACUUUCAGCGGGGAGGAAGGGAAUAAAGUUAAUACCUUUACUCAUUGACGUUACCCGCAGAAGAAGCACCGGCUAACUCCGUG
This 490-nucleotide ribosomal RNA is filed under the name uncultured bacterium. Its description in RNAcentral is "partial 16S ribosomal RNA". It matches the Rfam family "Bacterial small subunit ribosomal RNA", at positions 30 to 507 of the family's 1533-position model. The record is from RNAcentral.